UUAAGUUAAUUAGCGAUCAAAUCACUAAUUAAAUUUCUCAUAAAUAUUGAGUCCAAAUCCGAUGGAUAAUCGGGCAUCAGAAUUCAUCGAUAUGUAACCCUGAUCGAAGAGUCCUAAACCAGUGGAACUCUUGACCCCGGUACCCAAAAUGUGUGGAAUUCAUGAUCAGAGAAUCUUGAUUCUUGAUCACAGAAUCUCAGACAUGAAGAACUCUUCACCAGCUAUCAGAUCAGAUAGGAACCUCUAAUGUGUGUGACCC
Molecule: long non-coding RNA, 259 nt
Filed under: Elaeis guineensis (African oil palm)
Lineage: Eukaryota; Viridiplantae; Streptophyta; Magnoliopsida; Arecales; Arecaceae
Description: long non-coding RNA (EGUI_LNC074836)
Source: RNAcentral